This 253-nucleotide ribosomal RNA is filed under the name uncultured bacterium. RNAcentral describes it as "partial 16S ribosomal RNA". It matches the Rfam family "Bacterial small subunit ribosomal RNA", at positions 524 to 776 of the family's 1533-position model. The record is from RNAcentral.
UACGGAGGAUCCAAGCGUUAUCCGGAUUUAUUGGGUUUAAAGGGUGCGUAGGCGGAUUGAUAAGUUAGAGGUGAAAUGUCCGAGUUCAACUCGGGAACUGCCUCUAAUACUGUUGAUCUAGAGAGUAGAUGCGGUAGGCGGAAUGUAUGGUGUAGCGGUGAAAUGCUUAGAGAUCAUACAGAACACCGAUUGCGAAGGCAGCUUACCAAUCUAUAUCUGACGUUGAGGCACGAAAGCGUGGGGAGCAAACAGG